ACGAACGCUGGCGGCGUGCUUAACACAUGCAAGUCGAACGGAAAGGCCCUGCUUUUGUGGGGUGCUCGAGUGGCGAACGGGUGAGUAGCACGUGAGUAACCUGCCCUUGACUUUGGGAUAACUUCAGGAAACUGGGGCUAAUACCGGAUAGGAGCUCCUGCUGCAUGGUGGGGGUUGGAAAGUUUCGGCGGUUGGGGAUGGACUCGCGGCUUAUCAGCUUGUUGGUGGGGUAGUGGCUUACCAAGGCUUUGACGGGUAGCCGGCCUGAGAGGGUGACCGGCCACAUUGGGACUGAGAUACGGCCCAGACUCCUACGGGAGGCAGCAGUGGGGAAUAUUGCACAAUGGGCGGAAGCCUGAUGCAGCAACGCCGCGUGCGGGAUGACGGCCUUCGGGUUGUAAACCGCUUUCGCCUGUGACGAAGCGUGAGUGACGGUAAUGGGUAAAGAAGCACCGGCGAACUACGU
RNAcentral lists this ribosomal RNA (466 nucleotides) under uncultured bacterium. RNAcentral describes it as "partial 16S ribosomal RNA". It matches the Rfam family "Bacterial small subunit ribosomal RNA", at positions 29 to 506 of the family's 1533-position model. The record is from RNAcentral.